This 431-nucleotide ribosomal RNA is filed under the name uncultured bacterium. RNAcentral describes it as "partial 16S ribosomal RNA". It matches the Rfam family "Bacterial small subunit ribosomal RNA", at positions 29 to 505 of the family's 1533-position model. The record is from RNAcentral.
AACGAACGCUGGCGGCAUGCCUAACACAUGCAAGUCGAACGAGACCUUUGGGUCUAGUGGCGCACGGGUGCGUAACGCGUGGGAACCUGCCCUUAGGUUCGGAAUAACUCCCCGAAAGGGGUGCUAAUACCGGAUAAUGUCUUCGGACCAAAGAUUUAUCGCCUUUGGAUGGGCCCGCGUUGGAUUAGCUAGUUGGUAGGGUAAAAGCCUACCAAGGCGACGAUCCAUAGCUGGUCUGAGAGGAUGAUCAGCCACACUGGGACUGAGACACGGCCCAGACUCCUACGGGAGGCAGCAGUGGGGAAUAUUGGACAAUGGGCGAAAGCCUGAUCCAGCAAUGCCGCGUGAGGGAUGAAGGCCUUAGGGUUGUAAAGCUCUUUUACCCGGGAUGAUAAUGACAGUACCGGGAGAAUAAGCUCCGGCUAACUCCG